UACGUAGGUCCCGAGCGUUGUCCGGAUUUAUUGGGCGUAAAGCGAGCGCAGGUGGUUUAUUAAGUCUGGUGUAAAAGGCAGUGGCUCAACCUGUGGCCUGCAUUUGAAACUGUUUUUCUUGAGUGCUGGAGAGGCAAUCGGAAUUCCGUGUGUAGCGGUGAAAUGCGUAGAUAUACGGAGGAACACCAGUGGCGAAGGCGGAUUGCUGGACAGUAACUGACGCUGAGGCGCGAAAGCGUGGGGAGCAAACAGG
Molecule: ribosomal RNA, 253 nt
Filed under: uncultured bacterium
Lineage: Bacteria
Description: partial 16S ribosomal RNA
Rfam family: Bacterial small subunit ribosomal RNA
Source: RNAcentral